RNAcentral lists this ribosomal RNA (421 nucleotides) under Plasmodium fieldi. RNAcentral's name for it is "SSU rRNA". It matches the Rfam family "Eukaryotic small subunit ribosomal RNA", at positions 721 to 1091 of the family's 1831-position model. The record is from RNAcentral. Lineage: Eukaryota; Apicomplexa; Aconoidasida; Haemosporida; Plasmodiidae.
AUCUUUUUUUGUUUCGGCAUUGAAGGUCUUGUUACUUUGAGUAAAUUAGAGUGUUCAAAGCAAACAGAUAUAGCAUUGCGCGUUUGAAUACUACAGCAUGGAAUAACAAAAUUGAACAAGUCAGAAUUUUGUUCUUUUUUCUUAUUUUGGCUUAGUUACGAUUAAUAGGAGUAGCUUGGGGGCAUUUGUAUUCAGAUGUCAGAGGUGAAAUUCUUAGAUUUUCUGGAGACAAACAACUGCGAAAGCAUUUGCCUAAAAUACUUCCAUUAAUCAAGAACGAAAGUUAAGGGAGUGAAGACGAUCAGAUACCGUCGUAAUCUUAACCAUAAACUAUGCCGACUAGGCUUUGGAUGAAAGAUUUUAAAAUAAGAGUUUUUCUCUUCGGAGUUAAACUCUUAGAUUGCUUCCUCAAGUGCCUUAA